Lagopus leucura (white-tailed ptarmigan) is the source of this 187-nucleotide long non-coding RNA. RefSeq lists it as uncharacterized. NCBI's taxonomy places the organism in Eukaryota, Metazoa, Chordata, Aves, Galliformes, Phasianidae. The transcript is spliced from 3 exons. The record is from RefSeq and is a predicted model, not a curated record.
GCUAACUGUUUGGAGAUACCUCUCUCGUGGAGUUUUUCCUAUGAGUCUGGAUCUUCAGAGAUGGAACUUAAGCCCCAACAAGUGAAGUUGAUCUCGUGCCUGAGGCAUCUGCAGUCCUCCAGCAGAGACCUCUCCCAGUGCAGUGACACCAGAGCAACUUGAACAAUGUUACCCGGGAACAUCCGGA